This 61-nucleotide transfer RNA is filed under the name Laccoptera nepalensis. Its description in RNAcentral is "tRNA-Leu". Lineage: Eukaryota; Metazoa; Arthropoda; Insecta; Coleoptera; Chrysomelidae. The record is from RNAcentral. RNAcentral also lists the same sequence under 1 other name.
UCUAAUAUGGCAGAAUAGUGCAUUGGAUUUAAAUCCCAAAUAUAAAUAAUUUUUAUUAGAA